This 467-nucleotide ribosomal RNA is filed under the name uncultured bacterium. Its description in RNAcentral is "partial 16S ribosomal RNA". It matches the Rfam family "Bacterial small subunit ribosomal RNA", at positions 28 to 507 of the family's 1533-position model. The record is from RNAcentral.
GACGAACGCUGGCGGCGUGCUUAACACAUGCAAGUCGAACGGAAAGGCCCUGCUUUUGUGGGGUGCUCGAGUGGCGAACGGGUGAGUAACACGUGAGUAACCUGCCCUUGACUUUGGGAUAACUUCAGGAAACUGGGGCUAAUACCGGAUAGGAGCUCCUGCUGCAUGGUGGGGGUUGGAAAGUUUCGGCGGUGGGGGAUGGACUCGCGGCUUAUCAGCUUGUUGUUGGGGUAGUGGCUUACCAAGGCUUUGACGGGUAGCCGGCCUGAGAGGGUGACCGGCCACAUGGGGCUGGGGAUACGGCCCAGACUCCUACGGAGGCAGCAGUGGGGAAUAUUGCACAAUGGGCGGAAGCCUGAUGCAGCAACGCCGCGUGCGGGAUGACGGCCUUCGGGUUGUAAACCGCUUUCGCCUGUGACGAAGCGUGAGUGACGGUAAUGGGUAAAGAAGCACCGGCUAACUACGUG